ACUAAAAGAACAAAACCUGAAGCAUUACCCUUAGCAUCAACACCUUAUGAUUUUCCAAGAUUACAAGGAUUUUUUGGAACAAUUUAUAAAUUUGAAAUGGAUUUUGAAUAUCCAAUUACUCCAUCUCAAAUUGUUAAUGAAUUAUCAACACAAUUAGGUUUAGAUAGAGCUUAUAUUGUUGUUAGAAAUAUUGAUGCUCCUGUUGAACAGUAUGAAUCAACAUAUUUAGAAUAUAAAGAUGAAGAUUAUAUUUCACAAUUAGUACAAGAUGAAAUUGAUAAUAAAAUCAAUCCUAAUGAUUAUUAUGGUGAUGAAUAUAAUAAAGAUUUAGUUAAAGCGUUACAAUCAAAAGAAGCCAAAAAACAUCAACAAGGUUUUACUGAAUUAGAUAAAAAGAAAUACUAAGGUGCGCGAGACAACUCUCGCUAAGGAACUCGGCAAAAUCACCUCGUAACUUCGGGAGAAGAGGUACCCUGGUAGCGUGAUUUACCCUCGCGGUAAUGAGCGUGAUAGGGUCGCAGUGAAUAGGCCCAAGCGACUGUUUACCAAAAACACAGGUCUCUGCUAAGUCGAUCAAGACGAUGUAUAGGGGCUGACGCCUGCCCGGUGUCGGAAGGUUACGCGGAAAUGUUAGAAGCAAUUCAAAGCAUCGAAGCUAAGCCCCGAUGAACGGCGGCCGUAACUAUAACGGUCCUAAGGUAGCGAAAUUCCUUGUCAGGUAAGUUCUGACCCGCACGAAAGGCGUAACGAUUUGGGCGCUGUCUCAGCUGUAGACUCGGUGAAGUCUUAGUACCUGUGAAGAUGCAGGUUACCCGCGACUAGACGGAAAGACCCCAUGGAGCUUCACUGCAGGUUGAUAUUGGGAUUUGAUGCAGCAUGUACAGGAUAGGUAGGAGGCAAAGAGAUGGAUACGCCAGUAUUCAAGGAGCCGCUGUUGGGAUACUACCCCUGUUGUAUUGGAUUUCUAACCGGACGACGUAGAGCCGUUGACGGGACAGUGUCAGUCGGGCAGUUUGACUGGGGCGGUCGCCUCCCAAAAUGUAACGGAGGCAUGCAAAGGUUCCCUCAGGCUGAUUGGAAACCAGCCGUCGAGUGCAAACGCAGAAGGGAGCUUGACUGCAAGAGAGACAUCUCGAGCAGGUACGAAAGUAGGUGUUAGUGAUCCGGUGAUCCCGAAUGGAAGGGUCAUCGCUCAUUGGAUAAAAGGUACGCCGGGGAUAACAGGCUGAUCGCAUCCAAGAGUUCACAUCGACGAUGCGGUUUGGCACCUCGAUGUCGGCUCAUCACAUCCUGGGGCUGAAGCAGGUCCCAAGGGUACGGCUGUUCGCCGUUUAAAGUGGUACGCGAGCUGGGUUUAAAACGUCGUGAGACAGUUUGGUCCCUAUCUUCUGUGGGCGUAGGAGAAUUGAAAGGGCCUGUCCCUAGUACGAGAGGACCGGGAUGGACACACCACUGGUGGACCUGUUGUCGUGCCAACGGCACAGCAGGGUAGCUAUGUGUGGAAGGGAUAACCGCUGAAAGCAUCUAAGCGGGAAGCCUGCCUUAAGAUAAGUUCUCCCUGACGCAAGUCCUGAAGGGCCGAGGUAGACGACCUCGUCGAUAGGCUGGAGGUGGAAGCCCUGUGAGGGGUGGAGCUGACCAGUACUAAUAGCCCGUGCGUCUUGUUU
Molecule: ribosomal RNA, 1667 nt
Filed under: human gut metagenome
Description: bacterial LSU rRNA
Rfam family: Bacterial large subunit ribosomal RNA
Source: RNAcentral